GACGAACGCUGGCGGCGUGCUUAACACAUGCAAGUCGAACGGAAAGGCCCUGCUUUUGUUGGGUGCUCGAGUGGCGAACGGGUGAGUAACACGUGUGUAACCUGCCCUUGACUUUGGGAUAACUUCAGGAAACUCGGGCUAAUAUCGGAUAGGAGCUCCUGCUGCAUGGUGGGGGUUGGAAAGUUUCGGCGGUUGGGGAUGGACUCGCGGCUUAUCAGCUUGUUGGUGGGGUAGUGGAUUACCAAGGCUUUGACGGGUAGCCGGCCUGAGAGGGUGACCGGGCACAGUGGGCCUGGGAUACGGCCCAGACUGCUACGGGCGGCAGCAGUGGGGAAUAUAGCACAAUGGGCGGAAGCCGGAUGCAGCAACGCCGCGUGCGGGAUGACGGCCUUCGGGUUGUAAACCGCUUUCGCCUGUGACGAAGCGUGAGUGACGGUAAUGGGUAAAGAAGCACCGGCUAACUACGUG
This 468-nucleotide ribosomal RNA is filed under the name uncultured bacterium. RNAcentral describes it as "partial 16S ribosomal RNA". It matches the Rfam family "Bacterial small subunit ribosomal RNA", at positions 28 to 507 of the family's 1533-position model. The record is from RNAcentral.